CCUACAUCUGUUUAAAAGACUUCUCAGUGUUUAGACUAUGAUUGAAAACAUUCUGCAAAGUGGGAAACCACAUUGAGGUUACAAUUAUACAAAUAUCUUCCUGUGCUGUAGUGGGGGUUACUUUUGAACAGACAAGUAGAGACUAGAAAAGACCAUAGCAGGCAGUGACACAUCUGCUUGCUCUUGCCCUACAUUUCCUUGCAGGUACCCUCAGGACAAAGGAAGACAGAAUUUAAAAUUAAGAACUUUAAGACCCCCGCUGGCUCAGAGCAAGAGACCAUCUAGCACAGCAUGCAGCUUCCAACAGAGAACAGCCAGUUGCCUGGAGGAGGCAUACUAAAGAAAUGGGCUGUACAUGUAGUCACACCCACCUUUUAAUGGAUAUUUACCUAGACUCAGGCUCGGUUAUUUCCUCAUUUUCAAGAGGAUUUUUUUUCC
This is a long non-coding RNA of Pogona vitticeps (central bearded dragon), 438 nucleotides long. RefSeq lists it as uncharacterized. The record is from RefSeq and is a predicted model, not a curated record. Lineage: Eukaryota; Metazoa; Chordata; Lepidosauria; Squamata; Agamidae.